GUUCACUCUUUCAAUUGCACAUAUACUGAAAUCAAAACAAUACAGAAGAUUAGCAUGACCCCUGCACAAUGAAUGCAAGCAAGUUCAUGAAAUGUUUUAUAUUUUU
Small nuclear RNA from Jaculus jaculus (lesser Egyptian jerboa), 106 nucleotides. The record is from Ensembl. NCBI's taxonomy places the organism in Eukaryota, Metazoa, Chordata, Mammalia, Rodentia, Dipodidae.